Long non-coding RNA from Haemorhous mexicanus (house finch), 3143 nucleotides. RefSeq lists it as uncharacterized. The record is from RefSeq and is a predicted model, not a curated record. Lineage: Eukaryota; Metazoa; Chordata; Aves; Passeriformes; Fringillidae. The transcript has 3 exons.
ACUAUAAAUGCUGGAGUCAGAAAGUAAACUUCCUUUUGGCUCUUCACCUUGAGAGCAGCGGCGCGCGCCUGUGUUCUUUCGUGUUCCAUAGCGACAUCUGGUGACCGCCGAAGUGUACUGCAGCCUAGGCUGAGACACGGAUUCGGAUUGCGGGGGAGUGUUCCCUCCAGAGUGUCCCCAGCAAUGCAUAAUUGCCAUGUGUGAUGGGAGUUUCACUGCUUCAAGGAGUCUGAGGACAUCGGUUGUGAUGGCUAACAGCUGGUCUGAGGGCCUCACAGACACAAGUAACCUUGACCUUUACUUGAUCAGCCUGUACCUGUGAGGAAAGGAAGUAAACAUCUUGAAGGAAGAAAGCACUGAGGUGCGGAAGGACUUAGCUGCAGGGAAUGGAUGCUGGACAAUCUUUGAUGAGCACGUACAUAGGCAGCUAUUGGACAGUGAACUGGGUGGCAACAAGUUACUAGCCAAUUGGGAAAACGUGCAGGUUUUGAAAACCAUAUAAAUAUGAUCAGUGAACAAUGAAGAUCGCUAAGCCACUUCAACCUUGGAGUGUCAUGUCCAUCUCUACUGCGACAUCUGGUGACCCUGACACGAUGCGAAAAUAGCCAGCCACAUGGAGAGCAGGGGACACAGUGCCCAGCCGAGAGUAGCAGUGUGGAGAGCUGCAAAGGUCCAGACCUAAAAAUAAGAAGGAUCGGUAAACGAACCAUCAUGACUCGCUUGCCCUAGCGGAUCGUGACAACCCCUGGUUUCCACAAACCCAUUUUAUCCUCCUCCGCCUACAGAUGACUGGAGUGAUGAUGAACUUAUGACGACAGCUCUGCCACUGCUUGAUAUGCCCAUUCACAGUCUCAGCAUGCAAAUAAGAGCCAGGAGCCAAGUGGCGCUUGGUGCUGAGAGUUCUGGCAGGGGCAGCGCCUCGUUCUUGCUUCCUGGGCACAGCAGGAUUUUCCUGGGUAGGCACAGCCAUCAUCUUGUGUGCCAGUGGAGCCCAGCAAGAUGCCCCAGCGUGGCCUCCCAACCUGCAGCAGCCAGGGCUUCCAUCUCUUGCAGACCCUCGUGAGCUGAUACUGUGCUGGAGAGAAGACCUAGGUGGACAGGUGGCCCCUUCUUCAGGGGAACCAAGCAUGGAUAGCAAAUCAAGCCCCUCUGUACUCAUCCCUGCAAACACCUUGCAAGCCGGUACAGCAGGCAGCACCAGAAUGGACCUGGCCUCCUCUGUUACAGUAACUCUUCAGGACAGCAAAUGUGCACUGUUUGCCUUCAGAUGUCUGGGGACCGCUGGGCCAGGGGUGCAGUGGGCUUGGGAUUGGUUGAUUGUAGACCACAAAGUAGGAUUUUUUGUUCUCCCUAGACUCAUAGAUGGGAAUUUUACUGGGGAGAUUCAGAUAAUGGUUUGGACCCCUGUAUCCCUGUGUCAAAUUUCUGAAGGGUCAUGAAUUGCUCAACUUAUUUCUUUCCAUGUUAAUCCCCCCUGGUAGUUUUCCAUGAGUUAGAGGUAACAGUGUCUUUGAUUUCACUGGGCAGUCGCAGAUCUUCUGGGCACAGUCACUUUCCAGUCAUAGACCCACUCUCAAAUGUGCUCUUUGGCAUCAAAAUGAGAAGCUACAAAUUGCUGGUAUACGUGAUAGUGGUGCUGAUUGUACUGUUACAGCUUUCUCAGCAUGGCCCAGUCAUUGGCCCCUGACUCAAGCUGGUUAAUGUCUAGCUGGGGUUGGAGGCCUCUCUAUUCCAAAACAGAGUGUCAAUUUUGUCACAAUAGAGGACCCUGAAGGUCGCACUGCCACUGUGAAACCUUAUGUACUAUCACUCCAUGUUACUUUGUGGGGAUAAGACUGCCCUAGCCAAUGGGGUCUUGUGUUGGGAACAAAUUUAUCAUAGGGGCAGCCAUAGCUAUCAAAGCCGACACUUGAUACAGAGCAGAAGACCUGAGGGACAUCUCGCCUUAGUCAAACCAUUUGUGUUACCAGUUGCUUGCCUUUUUUAGCAAUGUAUUUUAUUGUGAAUCUUUCAGUACAGCUAUUUAGUAUUAUAUGACUAAAUUUUUAUUGUUAUAGCCUUCAGUGUAAAAUCCCAUUAUUUUAAGCUCAACUUUAUCUUACAAGCAAUCUUUAAAAGCUGCAACAGUUUAAUUCCUACAGUAAAUUCAUGUUGCUAUCUCAAUACAGUUGUUUACUUGCAUAGUUACCUUGAUGUUUAAUUGUUAUAUGACAAUUUUUCAAUAACCUUUUUGUAAUAAUAGUUUAAAUAAUUUAAUUCCUCUUAAGAAUAAUUUUGUUUCAUCUCAGUGGUGUUAACUUUAAGUUCUUUUAAGUAUAUUUUUUUGUUUUACUGAAGUUAAGUUUUAGUGAAGCUGAUUUUAAGUUUUGUUGAAUUAUACCUGUUUGAAUUAUAUCAUUCCUUUGCUGUACAAGUGAAUGACAUAAAGCCUGAAUGAACCGUUGUCAAAAUUUGCUCAUUUAAGUUGCAAGAUACAGCUAUUUUGUUAUAGAAAUAAUAAAAAAAUUUGCUAUUUUAUUUUUUAUAAGCAGCACUAAAGAAUAAGUAACAUUUUCAUAUUAUCACUGCUCAAUUGUAAGCUGAUGCCUUUUUUAUUAGUAUUUAGCUAAAAAUGCAUGACAAAGCCAGAUGCUUUACGAGCCUUCACAUACUAUUGUAUAGCUAUUUAUAAGACGUAUUAUUUUAAAGAACUUUCCUAACUACUAAGAGGUUUUUAGAAUACAUUAAAAAGGCUCUUCCAGUUAAGGCCUGGACCUUGGCCAAGUCCUAGCCUUAACUAGUGAAGAAAUAUAUCAAUAAACCCAAGUGUUUUCUACAUCAAAACUAUACUCAAGUAGUUUGACUUGCCAAAUUUAGACUUAUAAUAGCUAAACCUCCUUUUAAAGUGAACUUGGAGUACUUACCCAGGAAUAGUUCUCCAAGCCCUCACUUUAAAAUGAAGCUUGCCAAUUACUACAGACUCUAAGUAAUAUUACAAUAUUUUAGAAAUUAAUAAUGCAUUGUUUUAAAUCACCAUUCUAUUUUUCAUGUACUACUAAUUGUAUAUAUUAUCUGAUUUAUUUUUACUUAGUGUAAGUUUAUUGUUUUGCUUUUAUGUUACUUUCAUGUUCAUAAUGAGAAACACACAUGCUAUUAAAAAACAA